RNAcentral lists this long non-coding RNA (4019 nucleotides) under Homo sapiens (human). RNAcentral's name for it is "HSALNT0262993". The record is from RNAcentral. Lineage: Eukaryota; Metazoa; Chordata; Mammalia; Primates; Hominidae.
CAGCACUGCCAGGCUGGCCAGCAUGAGCGCCACCAAGGCGAGCAUGAGUCCCAGGGGGUCGUCAAAGGCCAGGAAGGUCUCUGUCCUGGGCAGGCAGCCAUCUCUGGUGCGGCUUGAGUACUGCUCCUCUGGGCACAGAAGACAUCUCUUCGUACCUGUGGGAGACACACAUCCCUGCGUCUGCCACAGGAUCGUAAUGACACCAGCCAUGUGAAGGAAGGCUCCCUAUGCACUAAACCAGCCUUACCAGCGUUUCACACCUAUUCAUUACUGAUUGAAGGGGGCCUGCCCCUCCACACCUGUGGGUAUUUCUCGCAAGGUGGAGACAAGAGACUGAGAAAAGAAAUAAGACACAGAGACAAAGUGUAGAGAAAGAAAAGUGGGCCCAGGGGACCGGCACUCAGCAUACAGAGGACCCACACCAGCAGCAGUCUGAGUUCCCUCAGUAUUUAUUGAUCACUAUCUCUACCAUCUUGGCAAGGGGGAUGUGGCAGGACUACACGGUAAUGGUGGGGAGAGGGUCAGCAGGAAAACAUGUGAGCAAAGGACUCUGUGUCAUAAAUAAGUUUAAGGAAAGGUGCUGUGCCUGUGAUGUAACCAAGCAAGUUAUAGAGAAACGCCACACUUUGAGACUAAUUCAGGAGUCCUUUAUCAGCCGGUGACCGAGAGAUGGCUAGUGCUCAAAAUUCUCUCAGCCCCGAAGAAGGGGCUAGAUUUUCUUUUAUACUUUGGUUUAGAGGAGGGGGAACCUAGCUGUAGCAAUCUUACAGAAGUAAAGCAGGCAAAAAAAAAAGUUAAAAAGACAAAUGGUUACAGGAAAACAAACAGUUCCAGGUACAGAGGCUUUAAAUCCAUCACAAGGUGAUAGGUGCGGGGGCUCUGGGUGCUAUCUGCCAGACACAAACGCGGGGGCUUUAGGGUACUAUUACCCCAGUGAAUUCCUGGCAACUGCAGACAUAGCCUGCCACAGUACCUUAUCAGUUAAUUGCACUCUUUGAUAUGCUGAGAGUCAGCUUGCUCAAGUUAAGUCCUUGAGGAAGGGAGUGGGUAAGGAGCCCUUGAGGUCUUGCAAAUGAAGGAGCUAAAUGGAGUCCAUCCAGCUUUCUCAGCUAAGAGAGAGUAUUCAUAUUAAAACAAGGUAUGGUAUCACACCUGGAUGUGCACGUAGGCCAGAUUUAUGUUUGACUUUACCCAAACACCUCAGUGCAGUAAAGAGCAGUACUGCCACCAGCAUGUCUCACCUCCAGCCGUAAGACAGUUUUCUCCUAUCCCAGUAAAUGGAAUGUACAAUCAGGUUUUCUACCGAGACAUUCCAUUCCCAGGGAUGAGGAGCAGGAGACAGAGGCUUUCCUCUUAUCUCAAGUGCAAAGAGGCCUUCCUCUUUCACUAAUCCUCCUCAGCAUAGACCCUUUACAGGUGUCAGGCUGGGGGACGGUAAGGUCUUUCCCUUCCCACGAGGCCACAUCUCAGGCUGUCUCAGGGGGGCAAACCUUGGACAAUACCCAGGCUUUCUCAGGCAGAGGUCCCUGCGGCCUUCCGCAGUGCAUUGUGUCCCUGGGUACUCGAGACUGGAGAAUGGCGAUGACUUUUACCAAGCAUACUGCCUGCAAACACAUGUUUACCAAGGCACAUCCUGCACAGCCCUAACUCCAUUAAACCUUGAGUCAAUACAGCACGUUUCUGUGAGCACAGGGUUGGGGCUAGGGUUACAGAUUAACAACAUCUCAAGGCAGAAGAAUUUUUCUUAGUACAGAUCAAAAUGGAGUUUCUUAUGUCUUCCUUUUUCUACAUAGACACAGUAACAGUCUGAUCUCUUUCUUUCCCCCACAGAUUUAUAAUUUUGAGAUACCAGUGAUGGGAUGGGCCACAUUAGAUCCUGAGGCACAAGGAAAAAUACACGCCCCGUAUACAUGUUUGCAUGUUUUUUUAAAAUGGUUAAUUUUUUCCAAGUAGUAACAACAACUGCUCUUUUUGUUUUGUUGUUUGAGACAGGGUCUCACUCUUGACACCCAGGCUGGAAAGCAGUGGCUCGAUCACAGCUCACUGCAACCUCCACCUCCCAGGUAAAGCCAUCUUCCCCCUCAGCCUCCCAAGUAGCUGGAACUACAGGCAUGCACCACCACACCCAGCUAUUUUUUUUAUUAUUGUUUUUGUAAAGACAGGGGCCUCACCCUGUUGCCCAGGCUGGUCUUGAACUCCUGGACUCAAGCAAUCCUUCCACCUUGGCCUCUCAAAGUGCUGGGAUUACAGGUCUGAGCCACCACACUCGGCUGCACUCGGACUUUUGAACCAUAAAAACUGUGAGAUAAGAAAUGUGCUUUGUUUCAUACGCUUGUGGUAAUUUGUUAACAGCAGCUAUAGAAACUAAUGCAGGGAGCAACUGGGCAUUGCCUACACUCACAGUGGGAGUGUGAACUGGAAGCACCACCAGUGUCUGUUAAAGCCACAGGUAUGGCCUGGCAUGGUGCCUCAUGCCUAUAAUCCCUGCACUUUGGGAAGCUGAGGCAGGAGGAUUGCUUGAGCUCAGGAGUUCAAGAACAGCCUGGGAAACAUAAUGAGUCCCUGUCUCUAUAAAAAUAAUUUUUUAAAAAAUUAGCCAAGCAUGGUGGGGUGGCAUGUACGUGUAGUCCCAGCUACUCGGGAGGCUGAGGUAGGAGGAUCUCUUGAGCCCAGAUCAAGGCUGCAGUGAACCACGUUCACACCACUGCACUCCAGCCUGGGCAACAGAGUGAGACCUCUUCUCAAAUAAAAGAAAAAAAAAAGCUGCAGGUAUGUCUACCUGUGGCCCAGCAAUGCCACACCCAACAGAAAUUCACCUGUAUGUCCCCAAAAGACACAACAAUGAGACACGGCUCAUUGCAGCCGCUGAUCAGCAGGCUUCUCAAAUCCCCCAUCCCUGUUGGAGUGGAUGAAGCAGCCGUGGUGCGUCCGCACAAUGGGAUCUCACCAGUCAUUAGAACAAGAGAUCCACAACCACACAUAACCACCACUAGGAUGAAUCUCACAAACAACUGGGAGGAAAAAGCAAGACACAAAAGAACACUCACUGUGUGAUUCCACUUAUAGGACGUUUAAAAAUCAAGCAAAACCCACUGACACCAAUAGAAGUCAGGGCGGUGGAUGGGUCGCAGGGAGAAGACAAUGGCUGGGAGGGGUAUGAAAGCUUCUGGGAGGGCCAGGUUGUGCCCUGUUUCUUGAUGAGAGGACCAGGGACACGGAAUGUUUGCCAGGUGAGAAUUCAUUGGGCUGCACGCUUAUGAUCUAUGCAUUUGUCUAUAUAUUUCAAUAAAACAUUUACCUAAUAAUAAUGACCUUUAUUCAUUCUCUUUCAGCCACUGUUAAUAAUAAGUGCCGAGACCAGCUCAGUCGGGGAGACCCUAACCUAGCGGUGCUAGAGGAAUUAAAGACACACACACAGAAAUACAGGGGUGUGGAGUGGGAAAUCAGGGAUCUCACAGCCUUCAGAGCUGAGAGCCUCCAACAGAGAUUUACCCACAUAUUUAUUGACAGCAAACCAGUGAUAAGCAUUGUUUCUACAGAUUAUAGAUUAACUAUGUGUUUGGCAAAGUGUAUUCACUGGGCAGAUCCUGGAAUACUGACACACUGAAAAAUACUACAGAAAAAACUCCUGAUGGAGACUCUGAUUCAGCUUGUGUGACACUAAUAUUUUCAUUUUGGGUGGUGAGCAAAUGUCUUUCCUCACUCAGAGAAGGGCUCAGUAUCCCUAAACAGCAUAGCUGAGUUAUGACUGGCCUAAUUUAGAGCUGCACCAACUUCAUGUACCAAAUAGGGACACCGCUGGCCUCUGUGCUUCCCUCUGACUCGAAUACACCAGAACUGGGAUCAUUUCUGCACCCUGGAAACUGACCUAGAGGUCCUCCUUUGUCACAUGCACUGUCAUUCUGUCUCCCAGAGGGGCUCACGGGUUGACUAUGCCUAUGUGGACAAAGUGGAAUCAGCCCUCAGUGGUCUUCUGUCCAUAGACAACAUCAAAUUCUGUAAUUAAAUCUCCGUUGGCA